RNAcentral lists this ribosomal RNA (253 nucleotides) under uncultured bacterium. RNAcentral describes it as "partial 16S ribosomal RNA". It matches the Rfam family "Bacterial small subunit ribosomal RNA", at positions 524 to 776 of the family's 1533-position model. The record is from RNAcentral.
GACGGAGGGCGCUAGCGUUGUUCGGAAUCACUGGGCGUAAAGGGCGCGUAGGCGGCCUGUUAAGUCGGGGGUGAAAGCCCGGGGCUCGACCCCGGAACGGCCUUCGAGACUGGCGGGCUCGAGACCGGGAGAGGAGGGUGGAAUACCCAGUGUAGAGGUGAAAUUCGUAGAUAUUGGGUGGAACACCGGUGGCGAAAGCUGCUCUCUGGUCCGGUUCUGACGCUGAGGCGCGAAAGCGUGGGGAGCAAACAGG